GUGAAGAACGUAGCGAAAUGCGAUACGUAAUGUGAAUUGCAGAAUUCAGUGAAUCAUCGAGUCUUUGAACGCACAUUGCGCCCCCUGGUAUUCCGGGGGGCAUGCCUGUCCGAGCGUCAUUGCUGCCCUCAAGCACGGCUUGUGUGUUGGGCCUCCGCCCCCCGGCUCCCGGGGGGCGGGCCCGAAAGGCAGCGGCGGCACCGCGUCCGGUCCUCGAGCGUAUGGGGCUUCGUCACCCGCUCCGUAGGCCCGGCCGGCGCCCGCCGGCGACCCCCCUCAAUCUUUCCAGGUUGACCUCGGAUCAGGUAGGGAUACCCGCUGAACUUAAGCAUAUCAAUAAGCGGAGGA
Molecule: unclassified non-coding RNA, 348 nt
Filed under: soil metagenome
Description: partial contains 5.8S ribosomal RNA, internal transcribed spacer 2, and large subunit ribosomal RNA
Rfam family: 5.8S ribosomal RNA (bases 2-119)
Source: RNAcentral